RNAcentral lists this long non-coding RNA (1732 nucleotides) under Nicotiana benthamiana. Its description in RNAcentral is "long non-coding RNA (NBEN_LNC006766)". The record is from RNAcentral. Lineage: Eukaryota; Viridiplantae; Streptophyta; Magnoliopsida; Solanales; Solanaceae.
GUGUAUCCUGGAAUAUUAGAGGACUAAACAAGUCCUACAAACGAAGAGAGUUAGUCAAAUUCCUGCGGACUAAUAGAGUUGAUAUAAUAGCUUGUCUAGAAACUAGAGUGAAACAGCAAAACUCAAUGGCAAUCUAUAAGAAGCUGGGAGGUGAGUGGACAAUAGAGAACAACUAUGCAUAUUCUCCAAAUGGAAGGAUAUGGAUAAUGUGGAAAGAAUUCAAUGUUCAGGUGGUACUUCUGGAAAGCACUGAUCAACUGAUCCAUUGUCAGGUGAAAGAUAAGAAUUCAAUUUUUGCUAUCACAUUUGUAUAUGCCCUACACACUAGCGAACACAGAGCACCACUAUGGAGGGAUUUGAGAGUUUUCCAACAUACUGGCCCUUGGCUUAUAAUGGGGGACUUUAAUAGUCUAUUAGGGGUCGAGGAUAGGAUAAAUGGCCAGCCAUUGCAUCCUUCAGAGAUAGAUGAAUUUUAGAGAUGUAUUGAUGAUACUGGAGUGGGGCAUCUUACCAAAGAAGGCAACAAAUUCUCAUGGAGUAACAAAAGGAAUGCUGAAGCCAGAGUCUAUAGCCAAAUAAACUGGGCCUUUGGUAAUGAUGCGUUGUUCAAUUCUUACACAGGGGUGGAAGCACUAUACAUGUUACCUGGAUGUUCAGAUCACACCCAUAUACUGAUAGACACUGAAAUAAUUAAAACUAAAGUGAAUAGACCAUACAGGCUACUACUAACAGUUAUGCAACAAAAAGAAUACAAGGAAGCAGUUCAAAGAGUGUGGAGUCAACAAGUCAAAUGAUACACUAUGUAUUCUAUUUGAAGCAAACUAAAGAAGAUUGAGCAGGAAACCAGAACCAUUCAUCAGGAGCACUCAUCUGUAGAUAAGAAGCUGUAACAGAUGAGAAAAGAUCUAAGGGUAUUCAAGGAAAACAGAAUGCAGAUUAUUUCGAUAAAACAGUGAUUGAAGAAGAAAAGAAACUGUUAGAGAAUAUUAAAAAGUGGGAAGUGAUUCAAGAACAAAUAAUGAGACAGAAGUCAGGAGCAAACUGGAUCCAAGUGGGUGAUAGCAAUACAAAGUACUUCCAUGCAUAUAUGAAUCUAGACAAGCCAGAAACAGGGUGAGCAGUAUUCUCAAUGACAACCAGAUGAGGAUUACUGAUCCACAGCAGAUCGAGCAAGAGUUCACUCAAUUCUUUCACCAGUUACUGGGCACAACAGCACAUUAGCUUCCUGGAAUAGACUUCACUGUGGCUAGAGAUGGGCCCUGCCUAUCAUUGCACCAACAACAUCAAUUGUUAACUUCAGUAACAAGGGAAGAGAUCAGUCAGAUAGUACAUCACCUUCCUAAUGAGAAGGCUCGUGGAAUAGAUGGUUACCCUGCAGAAUUCUUUAAAAAGUUUUGGCCAACUGUGGGAGAGGAGGUUAUAGAGGCAGUGCAGCAAUUCUUUCAAACUGAAAAAUUAUUGAAAGAGAUUAACUGCACAACUGUAACAUUGAUGCCGAAAGUGAAAAAUCCCAACUAUGUCAAAGAAUUUCGAUUUCAAACUGGAAAAUUAUUGAAAGAGAUUGACUGCACAAUUGUUACAUUGAUUCCGAAAGCGAAAAAUCCCAACUACGUCAAGGAAUUUAGACCCAUCGCUUGCUGCUCAACACUGUACAAAGUUAUUGCAAAGAUCCUUACAAACAGACUCAAACUAGUUAUGGAUUAUUUGGUGGGCAUGCACAAUCAGCUUUCAU